ACUUAGAGUACUUGGAUCUAACGGAGGACAUGACACAAAACCGAGCGCAAUGGCGUUCUAGGAUUCAUAUAGCCGACCCCACUUAGUGGGAAAAGGCUUUGUUGUUGUUGUUGUUGUUGUUGUUAUCUCGUGAAUGGCACAUAUGGUAUGGGGACCGGAGAACCUCAUGCCUUCGAAAGUUUUAGUAGUGCGAGGGCUCGAUGUUUCCAUCUGGCCGCUGUCCUGCUUGAGUUGAGUUGCCUUUGAUUGGAUUUUUUGUAAAGGGUGAUGAGUGCAGCACCAUACAAUUUCGACAAGAAAUCACCGGAAUAUGGCACUCCGGAAUCCAACGGAGUGAAUUUUGGUCAACAAGGAGAACAACGAUGAUGUUCGAUGCUAAAGCAGAAGGGAUAAUGAUUUCAAAAUUUGCGUAGUACAAGUUAAAUAUGUAAAUCACAUUGUCAUUCUUUGUGAAAAAUAACAGUUAUCCUUACUGUUUUAGAAUUUAAGUUUAGUCCCGAAGUGUUGUUGUAGUAGGGUUUUGGCCCGCUACUUUUUUUUUUUUUUUUGAUGCUAGUCGGAUCCUUUUCCCCGUAUCUGACUCUGUAAUGUUGAACGAACAACUUUGUGUAACAUAUAAACUUCUAUUGUUAUUGUUGUUGUUGUUCAGUUGUGAAAAUAACUUUGUGUAAUAUGUAAACAUAUGUUUUAAAUUAAUAAAAAUGUUCAACCUUUCAAA
Malus domestica (apple) is the source of this 718-nucleotide non-coding RNA. Lineage: Eukaryota; Viridiplantae; Streptophyta; Magnoliopsida; Rosales; Rosaceae. The record is from RefSeq and is a predicted model, not a curated record.